RNAcentral lists this ribosomal RNA (426 nucleotides) under uncultured marine bacterium. RNAcentral describes it as "bacterial SSU rRNA". It matches the Rfam family "Bacterial small subunit ribosomal RNA", at positions 377 to 802 of the family's 1533-position model. The record is from RNAcentral.
AAAAGCCCUCAAUCCCGCCAAUCCCCGGGUGUAUAAAGAACGCCUGAGGGUUGUAAACCAUUUUCAAUUGAGAAGAAAUUUUUAAGGAUAAUAACUUGAAAUUUUGACGUAAACUAUAGUAGAAGCACCGGCUAUUUCCGUGACACCAGCCGCGCUUAUACGGGGGUUGCGACGUUAAUGGGAUUUCCUGAGUAAAAGCGCGAGUAGGUCGCUUGGUAAGUUAGAAGUGAAAGGCCCGGGUUUAAGAGGUGAACUGCAUUUGAUACUGGAAACUGAAGAAUAUUAGAGGCAAGGGAAUUUCUGAAGUAGCGAGGAAGCGGUGAGAUAUAGAAAGAAACACCGGUGGGGAAGGGGGCUUGCUGAUUAAUAUCCAUUGAGGGCGAAGGAGGGGGAGCAAACAGGAUACAUACUGGUACUCCCGCUCCA